Molecule: non-coding RNA, 76 nt
Organism: Salvelinus namaycush (lake trout)
Lineage: Eukaryota; Metazoa; Chordata; Actinopteri; Salmoniformes; Salmonidae
Source: the annotation of a RefSeq genome assembly
GGUCCCGUGUGGCUCAGUUGGUAGAGCAUGGUGCUUGGAACGCCAGGGUUGUAGGUUCGACUCCCACAGGGGACCA